CUGCAACUUGAAUUUUAAUUAUGAGUAUGUAUUUAUAUCAUCUGUUUUUUACAACGUCCCCCAUUGUAUACAACUGCAGAGCUUUAAUGCAAACAUCUUUUAAAUUUGAACUGAUGAUGCCAAUCAUUGGAUCUUACUUUUGGUCUUCAUUCUUUCAUUUAUAUACAUCAUGAUAACACUGCUGCACAUGCAAUUAACUGUGAUGCGUUUCACUUUGAGGUGCACAUGAUUACACAAAGCAUCCAUCACAUAAAGACUCUGCACAUUAUUUUAUUCAGUUGCUAACCCACAGACAGCAGGAGGGAUGGAUAAAUGAGAAGUGCAGAUGAAAUUGCCCCUGCUGCCCUGUCUGUGGUACACCUCCUCUGAUGUAUUUGCAAUGGCCGACCCUUGCCUGCUGCUGGGAGAGGCCGGUUUAUUCAAUAACCAGCAUAAUGUGUUCUCAGUGUUGUGUGUUGGUACACAGACGGGUGAAUCUCCUCCUUUCCAUGUGCACACAGCCCUCCCUCCCUCUCUCCCUCCCUCGCUCACGUGCUCUCACCCCCUGCAAACGUACGGAGAACACGCAGUCUCUAACCGUGCCGGAGCACUGGCUGGAUUUGCCAUAGGAAAGAAUACCUUGACUUCAAUGGAGGAAUGACUUAGAGACGCUUGUGUUCCGUUGUCAACUUCUGAGUUUUUCCAACUUUCUUUUUAACGGAUACAAACAGCAAGAAAGUGACACUUCACUCUCCCAGGAAAUGGCUCAGCCGGGAGGCAGCCAGGACAUGUUGGCGGUCCCGCCGAAGCAGCUCCACCACGGGGACCAUGUGGGUUUGAACGAGGAUCUGGUGCGCAUCCUGAGAGAGAACCUGCUGCAGCAGGACCGUCCCUGCCACCCCAGGACCCGGAGAUCCCCGUCUUCAAUAUCCCCCAGGUUGUCUCCGACCACCCUGUCCCCGCGCAACUCUCCCAGGCUGCUCCGACGCAUGCUGCUUAAUAACAACAUCCACAAGCAGCGGCGCUUCACUGUGGCACACACCUGCUUUGACGUGGACAAUGGCACGUCGUCAGGACGGAGUCCCCUGGAUCCCAUGACGAGUCCGGGUUCGGGCCUGAUCCUUCAGGCUAACUUUGUGCACAGCCAGCGGAGGGAAUCCUUCCUCUACCGCUCCGACAGCGACUAUGACCUGUCGCCGAAGUCGAUGUCGCGAAACUCCUCCAUCGCCAGUGACAUUCAUGGAGAUGACCUCAUCGUCACGCCGUUUGCACAGGUGCUGGCUAGUUUGAGGACGGUACGGAAUAACUUUGCAGCGUUAACCAACCUCCACUUUGCAAUCGAGGCCUACCAGAAACUGGCCACCGAGACCCUGGAGGAGCUGGACUGGUGCCUGGACCAGCUGGAGACCCUGCAGACCCGACACUCCGUCAGCGAGAUGGCCUCCAACAAGUUCAAGCGGAUGUUGAACAGGGAGUUAACGCACCUGUCUGAGAUGAGCAGAUCUGGUAACCAGGUCUCAGAGUUCAUCUCCAACACAUUUUUAGACAAACAGCACGAUGUGGAAAUGCCCUCCCCGCAGACGCAGAAGGAGAAGGAGAAGAAGAAAAAGCCCAUGUGUCAGAUCAGCGGAGUGAAAAAACUCAUGCACAGCACCAGCCUCACCAAUUCCAACAUCCCUCGCUUCGGGGUCAAGACGGAUACGGAAGACUCCUUAGCCAAGGAACUGGAGGACAUAAACAAAUGGGGCCUUAAUGUUUUUAAAGUCACAGAGUUUUCAGGCAACAGGCCUUUAACGGUGAUGAUGCACACUAUAUUUCAGGUGAGACCGAUCACCUUUAUUUACUUUGCUCAUAAAUGUCUUGUGGUGCACAAUAAUGUCUGCUCUCACUCACCGUACAUCCACAUGUUGUUCUUUCAGGCGGUUUUCACAGACCUUGAAAUUCUCGCUGCCAUUUUCGCCAGUGCUAUUCAUGAUGUGGACCACCCGGGUGUCUCCAACCAGUUCCUUAUUAACACCAACUCGGAGUUGGCCCUCAUGUACAACGACUCGUCGGUGCUGGAAAACCAUCAUCUGGCGGUGGGCUUCAAACUCCUGCAGGAGGAGAACUGUGACAUCUUCCAGAACCUGACCAAAAAACAGAGACAGUCGCUGCGCAAGAUGGUCAUCGACAUCGUCUUGGCGACUGAUAUGUCCAAACACAUGAACCUGCUGGCUGAUCUGAAGACCAUGGUCGAGACCAAGAAGGUCACCAGUUCUGGAGUCUUGCUCUUGGAUAACUACUCAGACAGGAUACAAGUGCUUCAGAACAUGGUUCACUGUGCGGAUCUCAGUAACCCCACCAAACCCCUGGAGCUGUACAAACAGUGGACGGACCGCAUCAUGGAGGAGUUCUUCAGUCAGGGCGACCGAGAGAGAGAGCGAGGGAUGGAGAUCAGCCCCAUGUGUGACAAACACAACGCCUCUGUAGAGAAGUCUCAGGUGGGCUUCAUUGACUACAUCGUGCACCCGCUGUGGGAGACGUGGGCCGACCUCGUACACCCGGACGCCCAGGACAUCCUGGACACGUUAGAGGACAACAGAGAGUGGUACCAGAGCACCAUCCCACAGAGCCCAUCGCCCGCUCCCGACCAGUCCGAGGAGGGCAGCCGCUCCACUGGAGCAGAUAAGUUCCAGUUUGAACUGACGCUGGAGGAGGACGGAGAAUCAGACACGGAGAAAGACAGCGGCAGCCAGGAGGAGGAUGACAACAGCUGUAGUGAUUCCAAAACUCUGAUCACGCAGGACUCGGAAUCCACCGAGAUUCCAGAAGCGGAGGAGGGAAUUUCAGAGAUUUCCAGGGACCCCAGCAUGGUGGAGGAGGAGGAGGAAGAUGAGGAAGAUGAGGAGGAGCAGCCAGGAGACACGUAG
Molecule: long non-coding RNA, 2888 nt
Organism: Cyprinus carpio (common carp)
Lineage: Eukaryota; Metazoa; Chordata; Actinopteri; Cypriniformes; Cyprinidae
Source: Ensembl